This is a long non-coding RNA of Homo sapiens (human), 470 nucleotides long. Ensembl annotates it as C-type lectin domain family 4 member O, pseudogene. Its record names the gene CLEC4OP. The record is from Ensembl. Lineage: Eukaryota; Metazoa; Chordata; Mammalia; Primates; Hominidae.
AGAGCAGAGUGAGCUGCGGUCAUGAUUGAAGGCAGGGAUGCUAGCAGCAAGGACCCCAAAGAAUUAUCAGCAUUGGGGCCCAAACUUCCCCCCAGGCUGGGGGAAACUGGACUUCCUGACAUCAACUAACCAGGCGACAUCCUGGAUAGGCCUCUUCAAAGAUGGCCAAGGAAGUGCCCACAGGUGGAUGGAUGGCUCAGCCCCCACCUACAUAAACUGGGACUCCAGGAAAUUGGAUGAUAAUGGAACCACCCCAGCCUGUGUGAUGAUGCUCUACCAGGGACACUGGAGCAACUCCUCUUGCAAAUCAGAGUCUCCUGUUUACAUCUGUGAGAAGAGGCAGAGCUGCUGACCUAGGCCCCUACCCCAUAAGAUUGGUGUAAACCUCUUGUUGUGCAUCCUCAACCUCCAUCCCUGCCCUCUCUGGGCUCUGAAUCCCCAGAGGCAACAAUAAAGGACGUUUCUCCAAA